Triticum dicoccoides is the source of this 1520-nucleotide long non-coding RNA. RefSeq lists it as uncharacterized. The transcript is spliced from 10 exons. Lineage: Eukaryota; Viridiplantae; Streptophyta; Magnoliopsida; Poales; Poaceae. The record is from RefSeq and is a predicted model, not a curated record.
CCUUGAGAUGGAUUGUUGUUUGUUGUUUGAUUGAUUGUCUUGAGAUGGAUUGUUGUUUGUUGUUUGAUUGAUUGCCUUGAGAAGGUACAAACCAUGUAGGCCGAUUGAUUGCUGUUUGUUGCCUUGAUACAUAUGUUUAUAUGGCACGACUGGCUGCUGUUUGUUCAUGGUUAUUACAAUUGAUUGAUUGUUAUUUGUCGAUUGGUAUCUAAUUUUGGUAUUGGUAGUUCCUGAUCAUAGGUAACAAACCUGGCGCUAUUAUUUUUUCUGAACUUUUUUGUGAUUAUUAUUCCUUCACAUUGCACUGAUCCCAGAUCCAUAUCGACAUGCCCACGCUGUCUGACGAGGAUAAAGAUGUUAUGAAAAAAUGGGGUGCUCCAAACAAGAUUGACUUCCUCUCUUUCUUAUACAAGGCAUGCAGAAGAUGUGCGGCAAAAGUCUGCUCUGCACAAGUGCAACAUGGUUGGAAAACCUGCUGCUGUUACUCGUGUUGUGGAUAGUAUGACGGAUAACCUAAGGCCUACUCGUGCAGAUGCAACUGAUGUGGCAAAUGCGGUGCUGGAUGGUAAUGAUGCCAUUCUCCUUGGUGCUGAGACUCUCUGUGGGUUGUAUCCAGUUGAGACUAUUUCAACGAUAGGCAGAAUUUGUGAUGAGUUCAAAUCGGACUUCAAUACAAAUAAAAUGUUGCAGAUAAAUACCAUUCUUCCGAACAGCCCCUAGAUGUGUUCUCAACAAGCUGAGAAGGUCUUCAACCAGGAUUUGUAUUUCAAGCGAACCAUGAAAUACGUGGGAGAACCCAUGAUCCACUUGGAGUCUAUUGCUUCCUCUGCAGUGCGGGCUGCUAUUAAAGUUAAGGCUUCAGUCAUCAUUUGCUUCACCUCAUCUGGAUAGGAGAAAAAGAGUAUUUCUUCUUAUAGGCGCUUCACCUCAUCUUGUAGUUUAAUAGAAAUUGAUUCAUAUAUUAUGCUGUAUCGAGUAUCUGCAGGCUAAUUGCCAAGUACAGAACCACCAUGCCAUUCCUCAUCUAAAAACAAAUCAGUUGAAGUGGAGCUUCACAAGCGCAUUUGAAGCAAGACAAUCACUCAAUAGUUAGAGGCCUCUUUCCCAUGCUUGCCGAUCCACAUCACCCGGCUGAAUCUACUAGCACUAGAAAUGAAUCAGUGUUGAAGGCUCUUGACCACGGCAAAGCAUCCGGUGUGAUCAAGUCGCAUGGCUUACCUUAGCCAGAAUUUCUAUAAGAAUGUUGCUGAUGUUACAUGCCUUGCUUUCUCUAGAACGAAGAUCUGGAUCACCCUCGCCCCUCUAGAGAAAUCAGUUUACUCGUUCAAGUUCUGGAAAUUCUUUAUAGCUUUUUGAGUUUACUUCGGUCUUGCAUGCAUUAGCUUUUUGUUUGUGCCCCUAUCUAUGUAUGUUUCUUGUGUGCAAGUGCUCCAUUGUGUGUGUGUGUGUGGCUUGACUCUCUAUGUGUGGCUUGACUCUGUGUGUGUGGCUUGACUCUGUAUGUGUGGCUUGAUUGUGUG